AUUACAGGUAAGAAACGUACCCUCGUGAGGGUGCCUGACGGUACUGUAGGAAUAAGCACCGGCUAACUCCGUGCCAGCAGCCGCGGUAAUACGGAGGGUGCGAGCGUUAUCCGGAUUUAUUGGGUUUAAAGGUCCGUAGGCGGAUUAAUAAGUCAGUGGUGAAAUCCCAUCGCUUAACGAUGGAACUGCCAUUGAUACUGUUAGUCUUGAAUGAGGGUGCAGUGGUUGGAAUGUGUAGUGUAGCGGUGAAAUGCAUAGAUAUUACACAGAACACCGAUUGCGAAGGCAGAUCACUAACCCUAAAUUGACGCUGAGGGACGAAAGCGUGGGGAGCGAACAGGAUUAGAUACCCUGGUAG
This 358-nucleotide ribosomal RNA is filed under the name uncultured bacterium. Its description in RNAcentral is "bacterial SSU rRNA". It matches the Rfam family "Bacterial small subunit ribosomal RNA", at positions 434 to 793 of the family's 1533-position model. The record is from RNAcentral.